RNAcentral lists this ribosomal RNA (744 nucleotides) under Triticum aestivum (bread wheat). RNAcentral describes it as "partial small subunit ribosomal RNA". The record is from RNAcentral. Lineage: Eukaryota; Viridiplantae; Streptophyta; Magnoliopsida; Poales; Poaceae.
AUGACUUUGGCAAGCAUUAAAUCUACACGCGUAGCACGAGGGUGUCGACGAUCCCCUGCUUCUCCCCCUCCAACCUCCAUCUCAGAUCUCGGUAAUGGAAGGGCCUUUUGUGUGAGGGAGCACAUGGCGGCGGCAAUCGCAGGUGGCGACGAGGCGAAGAUGGCGAGCCUCCACGAGAUCUGUGGGCGGUACAAGGAUGCAGAGGAGAUGCAUCAGGCAUCACAUCAGGUGGUUAAAGAGGCCUCAGAGGAGGAGCAAAGUUGGAUCUCAUGGAAGGCCCCACUCGAGAUCCUCUAUUGGGCAAUGAUGGAGGCGGAAUCCAACGAUCCAGAGCGGCGCGCUCGGUGGUACCGCAAUGCGUCGUACGACUGGGUUUCAUCCCAUCCGGUCUGGGAUGAUGUGCAGGGGGUGACAAUGACGAUGGGGUCGCCGCCACGCUACCCGACGAUGUCCGUCGUGACUGGCGACGAUGUGCGGGUGCUGCCAAGACAAAAUGUUGUGUGGGUGGUUUCACAGUUGUCUCGUCGCUCCCCUCGGUUCCCCAGUGUUCUACGUGGAUCCAGGCGCUUGCACAGAGCGCCGCCGAUGAGUAGGCGUCUUCCUGGCAGUCAGUCAAUUAUGGAUGCUGCCGAGGAGGAGUCGAGGACUCCUACGAUCGUUUUGCUGCUUCAUUUUCCAAUAAAGGGAGGGACAUCAAAGGGUGUUGACGCUAGGAGCAAAAAUCAUGGAGUAGGUGGCAGGUGA